CAGCAGCCGCGGGAAUACGAAGGGGGCUAGCGUUGUUCGGAAUUACUGGGCGUAAAGCGUGCGCAGGCGGUUUGUUAAGACAGAUGUGAAAUCCCCGGGCUCAACCUGGGAACUGCAUUUGUGACUGGCAAGCUAGAGUAUGGCAGAGGGGGGUGGAAUUCCGCGUGUAGCAGUGAAAUGCGUAGAUAUGCGGAGGAACACCGAUGGCGAAGGCAGCCCCCUGGGCCAAUACUGACGCUCAUGCACGAAAGCGUGGGGAGCAAACAGGAUUAGAUACCCCCGUAGUCCCUGUCUCUUAUAC
This 301-nucleotide ribosomal RNA is filed under the name uncultured bacterium. Its description in RNAcentral is "partial 16S ribosomal RNA". It matches the Rfam family "Bacterial small subunit ribosomal RNA", at positions 509 to 807 of the family's 1533-position model. The record is from RNAcentral.